UGCCAAUCUGCUUCCUUUUUGACUUUCCUAGGCUCGGAUUCAUCAGAUUCUCUACUUGCGUCAUUUGCAAUGGAAAGACCCUCCCACAAGCAAAACCAUAUUCCUGCUGCUGUCAGUUAUGAUGCACUGAGAAAACUUCAGAGACCUAAACUUUUUCCAGAGAAGAGAAGCUUUACUGGUGUUCCAGCCCUAAGAAACUUAAAUCCUCAGUGUGACACAACUCAGUCCUUCUACUGCAGCA
Molecule: long non-coding RNA, 241 nt
Filed under: Pan troglodytes (chimpanzee)
Lineage: Eukaryota; Metazoa; Chordata; Mammalia; Primates; Hominidae
Description: long non-coding RNA NONPTRT001813
Source: RNAcentral